UCAUAUGCAGCUCCAGGCUGCACACUCCCAAGGAACACGUGGAUGCACACACCGAGGGUUAAAUGGUUUAUGUUCUGUUUUUUCCAGCCUGCCCUGAGGCCCAAGGGUCCCCCACCUCCCGUUCCUGCCCCCAAACCUGGCUCUUCCCACCCCGAGGAGAAGUUUGCUCCAGAGAGAAAAGCUCCUCCUGUGCCCGUUCCCAAAGGCAAACCCCCUCCUCCACCCCAGGCUUUAAAGCCCCCCAUGCAUCCCAGAGUCUGAGGCUUCCCAAGCAGAGCUGGGUGGGCCACCUGAAGUUUCCAGGGACAGUUCAUCCCUCGAUUCCUCCACUUCUGGCAAAGGUAUCCUGGACCAUCUCCCUCUCCUCCUGAAGAACUGACUGAGAGCUGCCUGGGGAGAUUUGGGAUUUCGGGCAGUGAGGAGCCCUGGUGGUGACACGGAGCUGCUGUCCACGGGAAGCGGAGCAGAGUCACCACUUGCACUGAGGUGUAAACUGGGAGUAAGUUACAACAGCUGCUGAACACCUCCAGCUGCAGGGCCAGCACUGUGGGAUGGGGCUGCUCCUCCUCUGCUCCUCUGGGGCCAGAGCUGAGGGCAGCAGGGACAGUGUGGCUGCUGCAGGCUUGGGAAUUGCAAACUUUUGGUUUUUUGCUCCAUUUCUGGAUCUUUUCCAGCCCUCUCUGCCCUCAGCAAUACAAAGAUUUCUCCUUGUGGAGAAAAACAAACCCUUCCUGCCCUGGGGAGAGAAGCUGUGUCCCCAGGGUCCGAGCUGGACAUGGAAUAAGCAAUGAGACACACUGGGAAUGGUUCUGGGAAGAUCCUUUGCACUGGAUUCUCUCCACAGUCCCUAAAUUCCCUGUUGAGGAUGCCAUUCCCUGCAAAACAUGGAUAUGAUGGAAUUUCAGUUCUUCCUUUGACGUUGUGUUGGAUGAGGAUAUUUCUGGAAGAGCAGAGCUUCCUUCCUCUUUGGAUAAUUGCUGCUUUAUUUGAGCCAGGAACAGAUUGGAAUCUCCACCUGGGUUUGGCUGGGGUGUAAAAAUCCAGAAGUUAUUUUUUA
Camarhynchus parvulus is the source of this 1057-nucleotide long non-coding RNA. Lineage: Eukaryota; Metazoa; Chordata; Aves; Passeriformes; Thraupidae. The record is from Ensembl.